GUGCUCGCUUCGGCAGCACAUAUACUAAAACUGGUACAAUACAGAGAAGAUUAGCAUGGCCCCUGCACAAGGAUGACACACAAAUUUGUGAAGCAUUCCAUAUUUUU
Molecule: small nuclear RNA, 107 nt
Organism: Cebus imitator (Panamanian white-faced capuchin)
Lineage: Eukaryota; Metazoa; Chordata; Mammalia; Primates; Cebidae
Source: Ensembl